Long non-coding RNA from Rosa chinensis, 883 nucleotides. RefSeq lists it as uncharacterized. The transcript has 4 exons. The record is from RefSeq and is a predicted model, not a curated record. Lineage: Eukaryota; Viridiplantae; Streptophyta; Magnoliopsida; Rosales; Rosaceae.
AGCUCACAGUUCCCACUACUACAAAUGUGGGCAAAGGCCACACAUGUAUUGCCACAAAUUUGUAAAACUGAGGAUAUGGAGCUCAUACCCACUGUAUAUUGGUCUAUAUCCUCCACUUAUAAGCACAAAGCGUGGGAGGUUGAUUAAAUAAAUAUUAUUUAUUUAUUUAUUUAUAUUCAAACUAAUAUAUAAUACUUGUUUAACUUUUCUUUUCUGUGAAAGCUAAUUUUAUGGAAUAUUUUAUCCUUUCCUCUUCCUCUUCGAUCACAUCAUAAAUUGUGCUCCACACCUUUAAUUUGAAUCUCAGACUCUCUCUCUCUUUCAUCUUCUUCUCAGAAAAAAAAAAAAACUUAUCUCUUUUUCUGGUCUCUCUCUACCUCUCUCUAUCUGGUCUUACUGCUCCAAAUUCACCAUGAUCGAUUACCCUGGACAGUCUGAAUUGGGUUGCAGAGAUUGAAGAGAUUUCAGACUGUGUUCGUGGAGAGCGAGGUUGCGAAUCACCUGGGAUGAAAAAGCCAUAAGCCAUUACAACUCGUUCGUCGUGCUUGAACCUAAGACCUGGGAUGAAGCUCCUGUGGAUAACACAAACAGCACUGAGUAGGAGGCUGAAACCAUGGCAGCGAUUAAACCCAAGAAGAUCAUCAUUGAGAUCCUGAUUUCGGCCAAAUCAAUUGCAAAUUGAAGCUGCUCUUCUUGCUUUCCCUUGUACUCACCAACUUGAUUAAGCCAUCCAUCCCCAGAAAGAUGAGAUAAAAUGAAUAAUAUCAAGAAUCUAAUCAAUUUCAAUUUCGGAACUACAAAGAAGCAAGAGGACUGAGGACUCAGUACUGGACCAUGAAUAGACGCGAUCGUUGACCAAAAAAAAAAAAAAAAUAGAAGCAAU